RNAcentral lists this ribosomal RNA (430 nucleotides) under uncultured beta proteobacterium. RNAcentral describes it as "bacterial SSU rRNA". It matches the Rfam family "Bacterial small subunit ribosomal RNA", at positions 354 to 776 of the family's 1533-position model. The record is from RNAcentral. Lineage: Bacteria; Pseudomonadati; Pseudomonadota; Betaproteobacteria.
GUGGGGAAUCUUGGACAAUGGGGGCAACCCUGAUCCAGCAAUGCCGCGUGGGUGAAGAAGGCCUUCGGGUUGUAAAGCCCUUUCGGCAGGGAAGAAAUCGGCGGGGCGAAUAACCCUGCUGGAUGACGGUACCUGCAGAAGAAGCACCGGCUAACUACGUGCCAGCAGCCGCGGUAAUACGUAGGGUGCGAGCGUUAAUCGGAUUUACUGGGCGUAAAGCGUGCGCAGGCGGCCCGUUAAGACAGGUGUGAAAUCCCUGGGCUCAACCUAGGAAUUGCGCUUGUGACUGGCGGGCUCGAGUACGGUAGAGGGGGGUGGAAUUCCUGGUGUAGCAGUGAAAUGCGUAGAGAUCAGGAGGAACACCGAUGGCGAAGGCAGCCCCCUGGGCCUGUACUGACGCUCAUGCACGAAAGCGUGGGGAGCAAACAGG